CCUACGGGAGGCAGCAGUAAGGAAUAUUGGACAAUGCUCGCAAGAGUGAUCCAGCCAUGCCGCGUGCAGGAAGACGGCCCUAUGGGUUGUAAACUGCUUUUGAACUAGAGAAAACCCUCCUACGUGUAGGAGGCUGAUAGUAUAGUUAGAAUAAGCAUCGGCUAACUUCGUGCCAGCAGCCGCGGUAAGACGAAGGAUGCAAGCGUUAUCCGGAUUCAUUGGGUUUAAAGGGAGCGUAGGUGGACUGAUAAGUCAGUGGUGAAAUCUCUCGGCUUAACCGAGAAAUUGCCAUUGAUACUGUUGGUCUUGAGUACAGUUGCUGUGGGCGGAAUAUGACAUGUAGUGGUGAAAUACAUAGAGAUGUCAUAGAACACCGAUUGCGAAGGCAGCUCACAAAGCUGUAACUGACACUGAGGCUCGAAAGUGCGGGGAUCAAACAGGAUUAGAUACCCUGGUAGUCCGCACCGUAAACGAUGAUUACUCGCUGCUGGAGGUACUUUCGAGUGGCUUAGCGAAGCGUAGUAAGUUAAUUCCGUACCGUUGGGAGGUACGGCCGGCGACGGUAGGAACGUUAAGAAGUUAGUUAGACGNGAGAGNGCGACGGACGACGACGACGGAGGAGGAG
Molecule: ribosomal RNA, 625 nt
Filed under: uncultured bacterium
Lineage: Bacteria
Description: bacterial SSU rRNA
Rfam family: Bacterial small subunit ribosomal RNA (bases 1-539)
Source: RNAcentral